AUAUAUUUUGGUCCACACCACUGGAGACUUGGAGAACCUGGGCCGAGUUUCCUAUGGGAGGCCAGGCAGUGGGGGAAAUUUUGGACAAUUGGAGGGAAAGCCUGAUUCCCAGCCCAUGCCCGCGGGAAGUGAAAGAAAGGCCUUUCAGGUGUAAAGCUUCUUUCAAGGUGGAAAAGAAAAUAGGUUACGGAUAAAUUCCCUGUAGCUUAUGACCGUACCAUCAGGAAGAAGCACCGGCUACUACGUGCCAGCAGCCGCGGUAAUACGUAGGGUGCGAGCGUUAAUCGGAAUUACUGGGCGUAAAGCGUGCGCAGGCCGGUUUUGUAAGACAGACGUGAAAGCCCCGGGCUUAACCUGGGAACCGGCGUUUGUGACUGCAAGACUAGAGUAUGGCAGAGGGGGGUAGAAUUCCACGUGUAGCAGUGAAAUGCGUAGAGAUGUGGAGGAAUACCGAUGGCGAAAGGCAGCCCCCUGGGUCAAUACUGACGCUCGUGCACGAAAGCGUGGGGAGCAAACAGGAUUAGAUACCCUGGUAGUCCACGCCCUAAACGAUGUCAACUAGGUGUUGGGGGAGGAGACUUCCUUAGUACCGCAGCUAACGCGUGAAGUUGACCGCCUGGGGAGUACGGCCGCAAGGUUAAAACUCAAAGGAAUUGACGGGGACCCGCACAAGCGGUGGAUUAUGUGGAUUAAUUCGAUGCAACGCGAAAAACCUUACCUACCCUUGACAUGCCAAGAAGUUCUCAGAGAUGGGAUCGUGCUCGAAAGAGAACUUGGACACAGGUGCUGCAUGGCUGUCGUCAGCUCGUGUCGUGAGAUGUUGGGUUAAGUCCCGCAACGAGCGCAACCCUUGUCAUUAGUUGCUACAUUCAGUUGGGCACUCUAAUGAGACUGCCGGUGACAAGCCGGAGGAAGGUGGGGAUGACGUCAAGUCCUCAUGGCCCUUAUAGGUGGGGCUACACACGUCAUACAAUGGCUGGUACAAAGGGUUGCCAACCCGCGAGGGGGAGCUAAUCCCAUAAAGCCAGUCGUAGUCCGGAUCGUAGUCUGCAACUCGACUACGUGAAGUCGGAAUCGCUAGUAAUCGUGGAUCAGAAUGUCACGGUGAAUACGUUCCCGGGUCUUGUACACACCGCCCGU
RNAcentral lists this ribosomal RNA (1140 nucleotides) under uncultured bacterium. Its description in RNAcentral is "bacterial SSU rRNA". It matches the Rfam family "Bacterial small subunit ribosomal RNA", at positions 293 to 1397 of the family's 1533-position model. The record is from RNAcentral.